Long non-coding RNA from Cygnus olor (mute swan), 864 nucleotides. RefSeq lists it as uncharacterized. Lineage: Eukaryota; Metazoa; Chordata; Aves; Anseriformes; Anatidae. The transcript has 4 exons. The record is from RefSeq and is a predicted model, not a curated record.
GAGCAAGAAGAGCUGGUGGCACGAGGGGUCAGACCGGUGAGGUUGAUGUGAAUAAACUGGCCCUCUGCGAGGGCUGCUGUCUGGUAAAGUAAGAAACACCACAGCUUUGGCUUGUAAAUAUCAUGCUCAGGAUGCUUUUGGUGAACUGAGCUGGUGCUAGGGCGUGAACCAAACACCACGGUAAGGCACCUAAUGCCAGUUGUCCCAGGAUCAGUGCUGGUGCAGGGACAGAUAAGGAAUGGCUUGUGGUGCAGCUUCGCAGGCCCCUUGUAGAUCCGCUUGUGGAAGCAGGCCUCUGCCCGAUGUUCAUUGAUUCUUCAUUAAUUCUUUUCAUAUUUAAGCACAAAUGUGUGUUUAGUUUACCUCAGGGAGUACAACAGAAACUCCCAGUCGGUUUGGUGUCAGGAGUGGGGUUGCUGCUCGCUGGCAGGAGCCGCCAGACUGGGGCCAGAGGGGAGGCCCAGGCGGCACCACCAUCAGAUGUGAGUGAUCCUUGUCGCCUUGUCUCACCAGCAAGUGAUCUUCGCCCCAACCACAUCUCCAGGCUGGCCAUUAUAUCAGUGGGAAUUGUCACUGGAGGCAAAGAAAAUAAAAUCACCUCAGAAGUGUUGCAAGGAUGUGAUCUACAGUCAGCUUUUGAGCGAGCCACUACAGCCCAACAGCCAGUAAGGUCCCUCCCUGAUGGAAAGCAUGCUCUUGUGGAUGCCCAGCGAUAGGGUGAACUUUGUCAUGUAGUCCAGUUGAAGCUACUACCACUCUACUCUCCAGCUGGUUAACACACACGGCCUUGAAUCACAGCCCUCAAGACAGAAUCACGGAACAUACAGCUGAUGUGUGAGAAAGGAGACCAUUGGUGGAGAGAAG